RNAcentral lists this ribosomal RNA (716 nucleotides) under Ceraphron sp. MM-2014. RNAcentral's name for it is "12S ribosomal RNA". The record is from RNAcentral. Lineage: Eukaryota; Metazoa; Arthropoda; Insecta; Hymenoptera; Ceraphronidae.
AAAAAAUUUUUUUAAUUAAAAUUAAUUUUUAGUUUAAAAUUUUGUUCAUAAAAUAGUUAUAUAUAUAUAUAUAUUUAAUAAAUAUCAUUUUAAUGAUUAAUAUUUUUAAAAAUUUUGUAUAUUUUAAGUUAUUUAUAUAAAUAUUGAAGAAAUUUGUGCCAGCAUUUGCGGUUAUACAAAUAAUAUAAUUUAAUUUUUUAUUAUUAUUAUUUAUUAUAUUAAAAUGUUUUAGGUGAAAUUAAUUCAUUUUGUUUAUUUAAUUAGGUAAAAUAAUAAUAUUAAUAGAAUUAGAUACUCUAGUAUUUUAUAAGAAAAAUUAUAUUUUGAAUUAAAUGUUUUAAUCAUUAAAUAAAAAAAAAUUGGUAGUAUUUUGUAUUAAUUAGGGGAACCUGCUUAUUAAUUUGAUAAUCCACGUUAGGUUAUGUUUUAUAAUUAUAUUUAUAUAUUUCUGUAGUUGUUAAUAUUUUAAAUUUUUAACAUUAAAUUUUUUAUUGAAAUUCAAGUCAAUAUAUAGUUUUAUAAAGUUAAAUUGGGUUAUAUUAUAAAAAUUUUGAUAAUUAAAUUUAAUUUAUUUAAGUUGAAUAAACUUAAAAGUAAAAAUUUUAAAUUAAGAAUUUUGAAUAUUUUAUAAGAUAUAUUCAAAUUGCCCGUCAUUUUAUUUAAGUAAACAAGUCGUAACAUGGUAAAUUUAUUGGAAAAUGAGUUUAAAAUUUUUU